GAUCGACCUGCGAACGGAACGGAACUGUCAGUGCUAACAAGAGCCUCUUCGUUUCGUUGUGCUGUUUUUGGUGCUGAGUGUUUGUAAAAAGUUACUAGCUUUUGGUUUUGUUUUGGUGCUUGUGUACAAUAGAAUUACAGAGGCAUGGCCCGGGGGCAGCGGCGGUAUUCCCGAAAAAAUAGGAAAGCUGAAAUUUAGAAGAAAAAAAAUAUUAAAUAAAGAUAUAAGAAGAGAUGUAAGAAGGCAAGCAGACAAUGGGAUGGUAUGUCUGCAAAGCCAAUCAUAAAGAACCAAAUAAACUGCUUAUGGGCUUAUGGUUAUAUUAAACCGAUUGCAUGUAUCUAUAUACUCUAAGCAUGUAUCAUAUUUGUUUUCUCAGCCUCACACUUUAACUCAGGUUCGCUGAAGCAUCGGCAAGCUGAAUGUGAGAUGGUAUGUUGAUGUCCUGUACAUUGACACGGAAAUGAGGCAUUGAAGAUGUUAUGUUGGGGACAAUGCAUGAUAGAACAG
Long non-coding RNA from Plutella xylostella (diamondback moth), 510 nucleotides. RefSeq lists it as uncharacterized. Lineage: Eukaryota; Metazoa; Arthropoda; Insecta; Lepidoptera; Plutellidae. The record is from RefSeq and is a predicted model, not a curated record.